Stomoxys calcitrans (stable fly) is the source of this 532-nucleotide long non-coding RNA. RefSeq lists it as uncharacterized. The record is from RefSeq and is a predicted model, not a curated record. The transcript has 3 exons. NCBI's taxonomy places the organism in Eukaryota, Metazoa, Arthropoda, Insecta, Diptera, Muscidae.
UAAAAGAAUAUUCACAUGGUAAAUAAUGUAAAAAAAAACAAAUAAUCAAAAAGGCAAAAUUCAAUUACAAAAAAAAACAAGAUUUAGAAUAUAAAGAAUCGUUUUCAAGCAAACAUGAAAUAUAUUAGAUUUUGAAGGCAAACGUUAACACUGCUUCUACACAUUGCCAUUCACAAAGACAAUAUUAACAAUCUUGAAAUUUUUCUCUAUUUUCAGAAGAAUGGGUCGGUCGCCUCGUCAGCUCUAGAUGGAUGACCAAGAAUCGCCAAAACGGUACUGCGGCCUUGAUGCUGGCCUCUGCGGCCAAUAAGGUCUCUUCAAGUUCUCGUCGGUCCGUCCGUCUGGUUUUCGGGUCUUUUUUUUUGUUGUGCUACCUUUUUAGCACCGUAGGACCAACAUCGGCUGAUUGGAGGACGAAAAUGUCCUUUAACUGCGUUGCUACCUAACCUAACCAUGAGCUCAUGUUUGGUUAUAGCCUGUAACCCAAACAACGGCAGUCCAAGGGUCGAACGUCAGUAAAGCAGUUUGGUUU